Molecule: ribosomal RNA, 466 nt
Filed under: uncultured bacterium
Lineage: Bacteria
Description: partial 16S ribosomal RNA
Rfam family: Bacterial small subunit ribosomal RNA
Source: RNAcentral
AACAAACGCUGGCGGUAUGCUUAACACAUGCAAGUCGAACGAACAAAAUUGGGGCUUGCUCCAAUUUUAGUGAGUGGCAAACGGGUGAGUAACACGUGGGAAUCUACCUAUCAGUACGGAAUAACAUUUGGAAACAGAUGCUAAUACCGUAUAUUCUCCUAGGAGGAAAGAUUUAUCGCUGAUAGAUGAGCCCGCGUAAGAUUAGGUAGUUGGUAGGGUAAUGGCCUACCAAGCCGACGAUCUUUAGCUGGUCUGAGAGGAUGAUCAGCCACACUGGGACUGAGACACGGCCCAGACUCCUACGGGAGGCAGCAGUGGGGAAUAUUGGACAAUGGGCGAAAGCCUGAUCCAGCAAUACCGCGUGAAUGAUGAAGGCCUUAGGGUUGUAAAGUUCUUUUAGUUGGAAAGAUAAUGACGGUACCAACAGAAAAAGCCCCGGCUAACUCCGUGCCAGCAGCCGCAGUAA